This 447-nucleotide ribosomal RNA is filed under the name uncultured bacterium. RNAcentral's name for it is "partial 16S ribosomal RNA". It matches the Rfam family "Bacterial small subunit ribosomal RNA", at positions 29 to 507 of the family's 1533-position model. The record is from RNAcentral.
AACGAACGCUGGCGGCAUGCCUAACACAUGCAAGUCGAACGAUGCCUUCGGGCAUAGUGGCGCACGGGUGCGUAACGCGUGGGAAUCUGCCCUUGGCUUCGGAAUAACAGUUAGAAAUGACUGCUAACACCGGAUGAUGUCCCCCUGAGAGAUCUUGGGGACCAAAGAUUUAUCGGCCAGGGAUGAGCCCGCGUAGGAUUAGGUAGUUGGUGGGGUAAAGGCCUACCAAGCCGACGAUCCUUAGCUGGUCUGAGAGGAUGAUCAGCCACACUGGGACUGAGACACGGCCCAGACUCCUACGGGAGGAAGCAGUGGGGAAUAUUGGACAAUGGGGGGAACCCUGAUCCAGCAAUGCCGCGUGAGUGAUGAAGGCCUUAGGGUUGUAAAGCUCUUUUACCAGGGAUGAUAAUGACAGUACCUGGAGAAUAAGCUCCGGCUAACUCCGUG